This 605-nucleotide ribosomal RNA is filed under the name Pseudarthrobacter oxydans. Its description in RNAcentral is "bacterial SSU rRNA". It matches the Rfam family "Bacterial small subunit ribosomal RNA", at positions 77 to 701 of the family's 1533-position model. Lineage: Bacteria; Bacillati; Actinomycetota; Actinomycetes; Micrococcales; Micrococcaceae. The record is from RNAcentral.
UGCUUGCACCGGGGAUUAGUGGCGAACGGGUGAGUAACACGUGAGUAACCUGCCCUUAACUCUGGGAUAAGCCUGGGAAACUGGGUCUAAUACCGGAUAUGACUCCUCAUCGCAUGGUGGGGGGUGGAAAGCUUUAUUGUGGUUUUGGAUGGACUCGCGGCCUAUCAGCUUGUUGGUGAGGUAAUGGCUUACCAAGGCGACGACGGGUAGCCGGCCUGAGAGGGUGACCGGCCACACUGGGACUGAGACACGGCCCAGACUCCUACGGGAGGCAGCAGUGGGGAAUAUUGCACAAUGGGCGCAAGCCUGAUGCAGCGACGCCGCGUGAGGGAUGACGGCCUUCGGGUUGUAAACCUCUUUCAGUAGGGAAGAAGCGAAAGUGACGGUACCUGCAGAAGAAGCGCCGGCUAACUACGUGCCAGCAGCCGCGGUAAUACGUAGGGCGCAAGCGUUAUCCGGAAUUAUUGGGCGUAAGAGCUCGUAGGCGGUUUGUCGCGUCUGCCGUGAAAGUCCGGGCUCACUCCGGAUCUGCGGUGGGUACGGGCAGACUAGAGUGAUGUAGGGAGACUGGAAUUCCUGGUGUACGGUGAAUGCGCAGAUUUAGG